RNAcentral lists this ribosomal RNA (894 nucleotides) under uncultured archaeon. Its description in RNAcentral is "SSU rRNA". It matches the Rfam family "Archaeal small subunit ribosomal RNA", at positions 474 to 1337 of the family's 1478-position model. The record is from RNAcentral.
CACCUGCGCCACGAGUGGGAACCACAUUUAUUUGGCCUAAAGCGUCCGUAGCAGGUUAUGUAAAUCUCUUGUGAAAUCAUCAGGCUUAACUUGAUGGUGUGCAGGGGACACUGCAUAACUUGGAACCGGGAGGAGCUGGAAGUAUGCAAGGGGGAGCGGUAAAAUGCUAUAAUCCCUUGUAGACUACCUGUGGCGAAGGCGUCCAGCUAGAACGGAUUUGACUGUGAGGGACGAAAGCCAGGGGAGCGAACCGGAUUAGAUACCCGAGUAGUCCUGGCUGUAAACUCUGCGAGCUAGGUGUCGCGUAUCCGUUAGGAUACGCGGUGUCGAAGAGAAGUCGUUUAGCUCGCCGCCUGGGAAGUAUGGUCGCAAGACUGAAACUUAAAGGAAUUGGCGGGGGAGCACCACAAGGGGUGCGGCGUGCGGUUCAAUUCAAUUCAACGCGGAAAAUCUCACCAGAGGCGACGGCAGGAUGAAAGUCAGGCUAAAGGCUUUACUUGACGAGCCGAGAGGUAGUGCAUGGCCGCCGUCAGCUCGUGCCGUAACAGCAAUCGCGCAAGUGAUUGCUGCGGUUUAGGUGUCUUGUUAAGUCAAGCAACGAGCGAGACCUACAUCUACAAUUGCUAACUGGUUCUUUCGAAUGACAGAGCACAUUGUAGGGACUGCCUUGGAAACAAGGAGGAAGGUGUAGGCUACGGUAGGUCCGUAUGCUCCGAAUCUUCUGGGCUACACGCGCGCAACAAUGGUUGAGACAAUGGGUCACAACUCCGAAAGGAGAAGUUAAUCCUCUAAACUCAACCCUAGUUUAGAUUGAGGGUUGCAACCCACCCUCAUGACAAUGGAAUCCCUAGUAAUCGGUCCUCAUUACAGACCAGUGAAUAUGUCCCUGCUCCU